This 651-nucleotide ribosomal RNA is filed under the name Triticum aestivum (bread wheat). Its description in RNAcentral is "partial small subunit ribosomal RNA". The record is from RNAcentral. Lineage: Eukaryota; Viridiplantae; Streptophyta; Magnoliopsida; Poales; Poaceae.
AUGAUAGAGCGCUUCCAGGGCGAAGAGAAGAUCUACCACAGUUUUGAUAUUGCAGAGGAUGAUCCACAUGGCUACUAUGCCCCCGAGUUCCUGAACAACCUAACUCCCAACGGGCUGCCUCCGCAUGCGCUCAAACUGAAGUUAAAUUGCCCCGUUAUACUGUUGAGAAACAUUGAUCCAGCUAAUGGGUUGUGUAACGGCACAAGGCUUGUGGUCCGGGGUUUCCAAAGGAACGCCAUCGACGCAGAAAUCGUGCUAGGACAACAUGCUGGUAGGAGGGUGUUCCUUCCUCGGAUACCUCUCUGCCCAUCCGAUGACGAUAUAUUCCCUUUCAAGUUCAAGAGGAAGCAGUUCCCUAUUAGGCUCAGUUUUGCCAUGACAAUCAACAAGGCACAAGGGCAGACCAUCCCGAUUGUCGGGGUGUACCUACCAGACCCGAUAUUCUCUCACGGUCAGCUCUACGUCGCAUUGUCUAGAGCCACUGCGAAGAGGAACAUUAAGAUUCUCGCCAUCAAGGACAACGACAAUGGUAAGGGCAAGGGCAAGGGCAAGGGCAAGGAACAAAUCAAUAAUUCAAAUAAGCGAAAAAGAUCUGAGCCCUUAUUAACGACCAUGAAGAACAUAGUCUACAAGGAAGUCCUUAGCACAUGA